AGCAGCCGCGGUAAUUCCAGCUCCAAUAGCGUAUAUUAAAGUUGCUGCAGUUAAAAAGCUCGUAGUUGAAUUUCGGGGUCAAUAUGUUGGUCGUGCCUUGGUACGUACUAGCUUAUUGAUUUCUCCUUCUGACGAACCAUGAUGUCAUUAAUUUGGUGUCAUGGGGAAUCAGGACUGUUACUUUGAAAAAUUAGAGUGUUUAAAGCAGGCUCGCGCUUGAAUACAUUAGCAUGGAAUAAUGAAAUAGGACAUUUGAUUCUAUUUUGUUGGUUCUAGGAUCGAUGUAAUGAUUAAUAGGGAUAGUUGGGGGCAUUAGUAUUCAAUUGUCAGAGGUGAAAUUCUUGGAUUUAUUGAAGACUAACUACUGCGAAAGCAUUUGCCAAGGAUGUUUUCAUUAAUCAAAACGAAAGUUAGGGGAUCGAAGACGAUCAGAUACCGUCGUAGUCUUAACCAUAAACUAUGCCGACUAGGGAUCGGAUGAUGUUAAUUUUUUAAUGACUCAUUCGGCGCCUUACGGGAA
Molecule: ribosomal RNA, 520 nt
Filed under: uncultured Glomus
Lineage: Eukaryota; Fungi; Glomeromycota; Glomeromycetes; Glomerales; Glomeraceae
Description: SSU rRNA
Rfam family: Eukaryotic small subunit ribosomal RNA
Source: RNAcentral